GAUGAACGCUAGCGAUAGGCUUAACACAUGCAAGUCGAGGGGCAGCAUGAUCUUAGCUUGCUAAGGUCGAUGGCGACCGGCGCACGGGUGCGUAACGCGUAUGCAACUUGCCUUACAGAGGGGGAUAACCCGUUGAAAGACGGACUAAAACCGCAUACACUUGUAUUAUUGCAUGAUAUUACAAGGAAAUAUUUAUAGCUGUAAGAUAGGCAUGCGUCCCAUUAGCUGGUUGGUGAGGUAACGGCUCACCAAGGCGACGAUGGGUAGGGGAACUGAGAGGUUUAUCCCCCACACUGGUACUGAGACACGGACCAGACUCCUACGGGAGGCAGCAGUGAGGAAUAUUGGUCAAUGGGCGAGAGCCUGAACCAGCCAAGUCACGUGAAGGAAGACAGUCCUAAGGAUUGUAAACUUCUUUUAUACGGGAAUAACGGGCGAUACGA
RNAcentral lists this ribosomal RNA (443 nucleotides) under Porphyromonas gingivalis. RNAcentral's name for it is "bacterial SSU rRNA". It matches the Rfam family "Bacterial small subunit ribosomal RNA", at positions 28 to 461 of the family's 1533-position model. Lineage: Bacteria; Pseudomonadati; Bacteroidota; Bacteroidia; Bacteroidales; Porphyromonadaceae. The record is from RNAcentral.